RNAcentral lists this long non-coding RNA (479 nucleotides) under Phascolarctos cinereus (koala). RNAcentral describes it as "lncRNA (ENSPCIG00000035151.1)". The record is from RNAcentral. Lineage: Eukaryota; Metazoa; Chordata; Mammalia; Diprotodontia; Phascolarctidae.
GUGGAGGAGGGAUGUAUAUAUCCCUGCUAUACUGUGUUUUCUUUUCUACCAUUGCAUACGGAGCAUAUUGAGGAAAACCUGGCUUCAAUUCUGGCCUCAGGCAGCAUGAUGUCCGUGUCACCCAGGAUCUGCUGCAAUGUAUAGCCUGCUUGGAGGAGGAAAAAAGCAGGCCUGCCAAGAGUCUCCUAAUGUACUUUAGACUACAAGGUCAAAGAGGACACCAAAACACACACAGAAAGCCUGGCAAAUGAACACCAACACCCAACAAGUAGAUGAUUUUCUUUCCUAAUUGGCCCCUGUCCUGCUAUUGAAACUUUACCUAUAAAGUGUAAAGUGACAAUUAAAAUCUCACUUUGUCAGGAAGGCUCUGACAGGUUCUGCUUUUUCCUUUCCUAAUUGUGGCAUUGGGUAGUUUCCCGGGAGUUCUCUCUCCAAGACUCCCUCAGAGUGCGAAAGUUUGCCCUAACUGGUCCUGUGUC